GAUUUCCGAAUGGGGGAACCCAACAUCUUUAAUAGGAUGUUACGAUUGUGUGAAUACAUAGCACAUUCGAGGUAGACGCAGAGAACUGAAACAUCUAAGUACCUGCAGGAAGAGAAAGAAAAUUCGAUUCCCUGAGUAGCGGCGAGCGAAACGGGAAAAGCCCAAACCAGCAAGCUUGCUUGUUGGGGUUGUAGGACUCCAAUAUGGUAGUUCUUUCAGAUAGUCGAAUGACUUGGAAAAGUCAGUCAAAGAGGGUAAAAACCCCGUAGACGAAAUGUGGAAGACACCUAGGAGGAUCCUGAGUACGGCGGAACACGAGAAAUUCCGUCGGAAUCCGGGAGGACCAUCUCCCAAGGCUAAAUACUCCCUAGUGACCGAUAGUGAACCAGUACCGUGAGGGAAAGGUGAAAAGCACCCCGGAAGGGGAGUGAAAUAGAACCUGAAACCGUGUGCCUACAACAAGUCAAAGCCCGUUAAUGGGUGAUGGCGUGCCUUUUGUAGAAUGAACCGGCGAGUUACGAUUGCAUGCGAGGUUAAGUUGAAGAGACGGAGCCGCAGCGAAAGCGAGUCUGAAUAGGGCGUUUGAGUAUGUAGUCGUAGACCCGAAACCAUGUGAUCUACCCAUGUCCAGGUUGAAGGUGCGGUAAAACGCACUGGAGGACCGAACCCACGUACGUUGAAAAGUGCGGGGAUGAGGUGUGGGUAGCGGAGAAAUUCCAAACGAACUUGGAGAUAGCUGGUUCUCUCCGAAAUAGCUUUAGGGCUAGCCUCGGAAUUGAGAAUGAUGGAGGUAGAGCACUGUUUGGACUAGGGGCCCAUCUCGGGUUACCGAAUUCAGAUAAACUCCGAAUGCCAUUCAUUCAUAUCCGGGAGUCAGACUGUGAGUGAUAAGAUCCAUAGUCGAAAGGGAAACAGCCCAGACCACCAGCUAAGGUCCCAAAAUAUAUGUUAAGUGGAAAAGGAUGUGGGGUUGCACAGACAACUAGG
This 987-nucleotide ribosomal RNA is filed under the name Enterococcus faecium. Its description in RNAcentral is "partial 23S ribosomal RNA". It matches the Rfam family "Bacterial large subunit ribosomal RNA", at positions 109 to 1097 of the family's 2925-position model. Lineage: Bacteria; Bacillati; Bacillota; Bacilli; Lactobacillales; Enterococcaceae. The record is from RNAcentral.